This 203-nucleotide long non-coding RNA is filed under the name Elaeis guineensis (African oil palm). Its description in RNAcentral is "long non-coding RNA (EGUI_LNC072250)". The record is from RNAcentral. Lineage: Eukaryota; Viridiplantae; Streptophyta; Magnoliopsida; Arecales; Arecaceae.
CAUCUAGCAAUGGUACCCGACGACCGGAUAGGUCGAAUGUGUAGAACAACAUCCUUAGAACCCAUGCGGAUAUAGUUUUCAUAUAAUUCAUCCCCUUGACCAAAAUGAUCAUAGGACACCCCAGAGUUCAACUUUCAACUCUGAUCAGGUUGUCCACAUUGUAUUUCAAAAUAUCAAAUCCAUGUGAUGGAUUACCCUGGCCA